Molecule: ribosomal RNA, 512 nt
Filed under: uncultured bacterium
Lineage: Bacteria
Description: partial 16S ribosomal RNA
Rfam family: Bacterial small subunit ribosomal RNA
Source: RNAcentral
GACGAACGCUGGCGGCGUGCCUAAUACAUGCAAGUCGAGCGAACCAAUAGGAGCUUGCUCCUGUUGGUUAGCGGCGGACGGGUGAGUAACACGUGGGCAACCUGCCUGUAAGACUGGGAUAACACCGGGAAACCGGUGCUAAUACCGGAUAAUCUUUUUCCUCUCAUGAGGAAAAACUGAAAGUCGGUUUCGGCUGACACUUACAGAUGGGCCCGCGGCGCAUUAGCUAGUUGGUGAGGUAACGGCUCACCAAGGCGACGAUGCGUAGCCGACCGGAGAGGGUGAUCGGCCACACUGGGACUGAGAACCGGCCCAGACUCCUACGGGAGGCAGCAGUAGGGAAUCUUCCACAAUGGACGAAAGUCUGAUGGAGCAACGCCGCGUGAGCGAUGAAGGCCUUCGGGUCGUAAAACUCUGUUGUUAGGGAAGAACAAGUACCGGAGUAACUGCCGGUGCCUUGACGGUGCCUAACCAGAAAGCCACGGCUAACUACGUGCCAGCCGCCGCCGUAA